RNAcentral lists this non-coding RNA (247 nucleotides) under Desulfofundulus australicus. Lineage: Bacteria; Bacillati; Bacillota; Clostridia; Eubacteriales; Peptococcaceae. The record is from RNAcentral.
UAAUUGAAUAGUCAAACAGGUGCCCCAUGAAGGGGAGAAUAGGGAAGUCCGGACGGGUGGCAUACCACCCGGAAACGGCGCGGUCCCGCCACUGUAGUCGGGGAGCUUGUCCCGGUCACUGGCCGCAGGCAUUCACCGUGUACAGCUGCAGGUAAGAAAAGCAGCGCGGUUGAACGCCGGCCGGGAAGGCCGGGGGGAAGGGCAAUGAUCCGUUAGCCAGGAGACCUGCCUGUUUGAAGUGUGGUCG